Molecule: ribosomal RNA, 533 nt
Filed under: uncultured bacterium
Lineage: Bacteria
Description: bacterial SSU rRNA
Rfam family: Bacterial small subunit ribosomal RNA
Source: RNAcentral
ACUGGAAACGGUAGCUAAUACCGCAUAACGUCGCAAGACCAAAGAGGGGGACCUUCGGGCCUCUUGCCAUCGGAUGUGCCCAGAUGGGAUUAGCUAGUAGGUGGGGUAACGGCUCACCUAGGCGACGAUCCCUAGCUGGUCUGAGAGGAUGACCAGCCACACUGGAACUGAGACACGGUCCAGACUCCUACGGGAGGCAGCAGUGGGGAAUAUUGCACAAUGGGCGCAAGCCUGAUGCAGCCAUGCCGCGUGUAUGAAGAAGGCCUUCGGGUUGUAAAGUACUUUCAGCGGGGAGGAAGGCGAUAAGGUUAAUAACCUUGUCGAUUGACGUUACCCGCAGAAGAAGCACCGGCUAACUCCGUGCCAGCAGCCGCGGUAAUACGGAGGGUGCAAGCGUUAAUCGGAAUUACUGGGCGUAAAGCGCACGCAGGCGGUCUGUCAAGUCGGAUGUGAAAUCCCCGGGCUCAACCUGGGAACUGCAUUCGAAACUGGCAGGCUAGAGUCUUGUAGAGGGGGGUAGAAUUCCAGGUGUA